ACAGGGAUUUGAACCGCCGACCUUCUGAUCAGCAAGCCCUAGGCUCUGUGGUUUAACCCACAGCGUCACCUGGAAAAGGUUAAUGAUAAUUCCUGAAUCUGGUCUUGAUUGAGGAGAAGUUUCCAUGCGUGCCUGAACAAGGCUUGUAAUGGUCUCCAUUACUUAAAACAGUCAGCUUGGCUUUGAGACCUAAAUUAAUUGCUAUUUGUUUCUUGGUUCUCGGCAAUAUAAUUGCCUUCUUAUGUAGAGGGAAAAGAAAGACACUCUUCUGCUGCGGUACUGCUAAAUGUGUUAGGGCAGGGAACAUCUAUCUGCACUAGUUGGGAUCUCCCCCCACCCCCAUGCAGAUGAACUUGAUUUUGCUUUUUAAAAGCUUUACUUGUUCCAGCUUCUCUCUCCUUCAGAUCCUAGUGAUGUUUAUAAAUACACAGGCCAUCAGUGCUACUUCACUCCCGCCCAGUGCACACAUUGGAUGGAUCAUUACAUGUCUAAAAUAGAAACAGCUCUGUAUUCUGUUAUGUGAGGAGUGCAGGGUUGGAGGAUAUUUUGGAACUCACUGGAAGCCAGCAUGGCACUAUAGCAAGUGUGUUUUGCGGGGCUGGUGGCUGUUGGUGGUUUUUUGCUUUUGUAACAGCUGCAGGGCACAGCCACCAGUUUCAGAGGGACAGGUUGUGAUGAGUAUUGAAGCGUGCUGCUUAAAUAUUGCAGGGCCAAACUUUCAGAGGACCGAGGCCAAACGGUUCUGCUGUGUUACGGUGACUUCAAAGUCAUGUGGCUGAACUACAGGCAUCUUGUUCACAUAAAAAGUACAUGGCAUUGAUGAUCGUUUUAUAGAACUGGCUGCCACAGAUUGUAGAUUGAACCUUGUGUAUGUACCAUACUUUUCUGUGUAUAAGACUAGGUUUUUUUUACUGGAAAAGUAUGUUUAAAAUUGGGGGUCUCCAAAAAUAGGGGGUGUCUUUUACAUGCGGGUGUGUUAUACAUGGAAAAGUACAGUGUAUACUCCCACUGCUUUGAUCAUUGGUUAUAAGCUCAGGUAUUAUUUAAAUAAAAAAAAUAGCCAGGAGAGCAAAAAGAAGUAGGUCUUCAGACAACGCAUUCUGGAAUUCACCAGAGAUCUGGCAAUAUAAGUCAGACUCUGAGGGCUGAAUUUUCCCUACCCUGCAUCACAAAGGCUGGAGAAGAACCUACUUCUUUCUCCAUCUAUCAUCUUUCUCCAUUUGUUAGUUAAUAUAUAAGAACCUAAAAACAGCAGAAGAGCCUUGCUGGAUCAGACUAAUGGCCCACAGCAUCAUGUUCUAAUUGUGUCCAACCAGAUGGAAAACCUGCAAAGAGGACCUGAGUGCAGCAACACUCCCCCAUUUGUGCAUGCCAGGAACUAGAGGUAGAACAUCGCCAUUAUGGCUAGUAGCCAUGACUAUUAGCCACUCAUAGCUACAUCCUCCAUGGAUUUGACUGCUCCACAUUAAAAGCCAUCCAAGUUGGUGGCCAUCAGUGGGAGCAAAUUUCAUAGUUAAAUUUUGUACUGUGUGAACAAGUAUUUGUCCUGAAUCUCUCAAAAUUCAGUUUUAUUGAAUGUCCCCAGAUUCUAGCACGUUGAGCACUUUCUUAAUACCAUGCAUAAAUUUAUACACCUCUAUCACCUUUUCGGUGAACUAACACUCCCCUACCCACCCAAAUAUAGCCUUUCCUUAUAGUAAAGUGGCUCCAAACCCUUGGGCCAUUUUUGUAGCUUUUUGCUGAAACUUUUCCAUGUCUGCAAUAUCUUUUUUGAGGUGAGCUGACAAGAAAUGUACACAGCAUUCCAAGUGUGAUCUCACUAUAGGUUUGUACAGCAGCAUUAGGGUAAUGGUCCCACAUCCAGAUGCUGCGCACAGAUCUAGAUCAGCUUAGCUUCAGCAUGAAUUGUGCAUGAAUAUAUGUACAUUUACCAUUCUGAACAGGAGGACUUCCUCUGUGAGAAAUGGUGUCUGGUUUGUAGUACAUCCAAGCACCAUGAGCUGUCUUUUUGUAUGUCAAGCUAGGGAAUUACGAACUUUACUUGGUGAGGAGAAUGGUGUAGCAUCGGUUGAUACUGUCAUUUUUCAGUGGUUCUAAAUGUUGUGGCAUGGACCUUUGGAGAGAGGUGACAUUGAUAGAACAGAUUGUAUAAGCAUUGGCCAAAUGUAUUGAAGUCAGUGGAGCAAAUGAGAGCUUUUUGAACAAUUUAAACUCACAUUUGGACAACUGCUAUGGGUUUUUGAUAUAAAAGUGCUUCUAGAAUCAAAGGAGGCUCCAUAUUGCAUUAGGAUUUUCUGGAGGAACAGAACGUGGUAUUUUGCUAAUAUUUUUGGGGAUUGGUGUGGUGUUUUGCUAACCAAACAGCGCGAGUUAAAAUCAGGAAAAAAAUCCUUAAAAUAUCCAUAUUUAGCUGCAGUGUUACUGGAGAAUCCUGCUUGGCAUUCAUUUGUUCAGUGAUUUUGGAAGAGUUCUAGGUCCACAGACCGUUCUUCAACUCAUUCUUCAGCUUCAAAAAUGAUGUGCCAUCCUUGAAAGUUAACAAAUGCGGCCUCCUGCGGCAAUAUCACUUUUACAAAUACACUUCAAAAAUUCAUUUCCUUUUUUUUGAAAAUGAAAGAGUAAACAUACAUCAAAGAGAUGUUUUUCUGAGUCCACAUCUUUUUCUUCCUUUAAAAAAAUACAAAAAAUACUUGUUUUUGUGGAUAGACCUAUCUUCCCUAGCACCACACCGUUCCAUUCUCUACAGGGAGCGGAUGGGGCUGGCAUUUUCUGUUGCUGUUUAUUACGUUGGGCUGGCUUUCCUACAUUCUCCUCUGUGGCAAAAUAUUUUAAGGAAUUCUGUUUGUCUCUUCAUAAUGAAUUGCUUUUUCUUUUCUUUUUUUAUCCCCCCUCCCUUUUUUAAGGGUUGAGAGAAUUUCAUUCUUUUCUCCCAGUGGCCAUACCUUGUGCCACAAAAAUGUCUCUUACAUGGUCAGAUUACCAGCAUCUUUGUGGUCAAUGACAUUACAUAGAGAUCAACCUCACUGGACAGCCAGCGUGGUGUAGUGAUUACCAGACUCGUAAUCUGGUGAACCGGGUUCGCGACUCCACUCCUCCACAUGCAGCUGCUGGGUGACCUUGGGCUAGUCACACUUCUCUGAAGUCUCUCAGCCCCAGAGUGUUUGUUGUGGGGGAGGAAGGGAAAGGAGAAUGUUAGCCGCUUUGAGACUCCUUCGGGUAGUGAUAAAGCGGGAUAUCAAAUCCAAACUCCUACUACUACUCCUCUUCUUCUUCUUCUUCUUCUUCUUCUUCUUCUUCUUCUUCUUCUUCUUCUUCUUCUUCUUCUUCUUCUUCUUCUUCUUUGAUUUGUCUUCCUGAAAGAGCCGCGUGCCACUUGUGUAAAUGUAAUACAAUUUGAAUAAACCUGGGGAAACCAUCUGGUUAUUAAGCAAGGGAAAACACGGCUUGAGCAAUUAAGACAACCCCGAUAUGACUGUAAUUCUGCUAACAAUGCAUUGUGAGUCAUACACAGGCAUCUGUCUUCUGUGUUGUGCCAAAUUAAACCAUUGGUCUUUCUAGCUCAGCACUGUUGGCACCCUUGAGGGACCCAGGAAGGAGUCUUUCUGAGUCAAACCUGGAAAUGCUAAGGAUUGAACCUGUGACCUUUUCCAUGUAAAACAUGAGCUUUGCCAUUGGGCUACAGCCUUUCUCCAGAGCUACUGUGCAAUGUUGGCUGGCUUACUGCUAUGGCCCAUCAGUUAUUCUGACCUAAAUGCACUACGUUAUAACAGUGAUGUGUUCUUGUUAAGUCUAUAGCUGGAACAAUGCUGUUGUCAUAAAUAAGUACUCCUCCUACCUCUUUGUGCUGGUCGAAGAGCAAAGCUUUCAGUUAAAUAAUUCUGAUUGGCAUGAUUGGGGAAGGGCCUUUUUACUGACAUACUGAUUGGGUUGCUCUUGUUCUUGUUUUUAUUAUGUAUUUUGUGUUUUUAAGUUGUGUUUUUAUGUUGUGAACCACCUUGAGACCUGCGGGUAUAGGACAGUAUACAAAUUUAAUAAAUAAUAAGAAUAAGAAUAAUACUGAUGUUAGUUUUCCAAAGUUUGAAAGUAACAUAGAAUGGGGCUAAUAGGGUCAGUGGUCUGACUCAAUAUAGAGCAGCACCCUUUGUGCAAGGGUUUAGAUGAACUACCCAACACCUCUAGAAAGAAACAGAUUCUACAUAUUUAGUUAAGGUCUUGUCAUUUUGAGAAGGACGGACUUUCUGAAGGACUGCCCCCUGGCAAUGUUUGACAGUAGACAUUGGCAAGGACAUACUUGGAGAGGUGAAUUAACCUCAUCACAAUGGUAAGGUGAAAGAAUUAGGUACCACCUUAGAGGUAGUUUGCAGAGAUUGCUUGUACAUGUACCAUUGGCUGUUGCUGGCUUGGACUGUUGAUUGCUAAGAAGAAACUAUGUUUUGUUGUGGACCUACAUGAUACAUACACUGUAAUGCAAUCUCAAAGUGGUGGCCCAUGCUAACUAGCUUGAACACAACCACCAGCCAGCGUAGUCUGCUGUUGGCAGCCAUAUUGCACAUUUUGAACCCAUCACUACCCCCUUAUCUUUGUCCUCUUGGGCAUGAUAUUAUCAGUAUAUCUGACCCAACAGGAGAAUAGGGCUAAUAAUAGUGUGCCAUUUAAGACAAAUAAACUGAUAGUCUCAAGCUAAAUAUUGCCAGAAUACAGUUUCACAAUUAAAACACAAUUAUAAAUAUCUAAAGUAAGUGGGCUGUUGGACAGGAACAACACAGUCACAAGAGACCUGCCUGUUUCUGCAGUUGUGCAAAAUGCAUCCAUAGUUCUUGAAUUUGAGAGGCAUUACAGUGCUGUUUGGUCUUAUACUCUGCCCUGUCUACUUUUCUCCUUGCUAUUUGUAGGUAGCCAUCAAAGGAUGUUCCUGUUGCACAUCAAUCCACACUGACUGCUAAAUGAGCCCCUAACAAUAUCAUUAUGGUUACGUGUUUGGUUUUCUUAAAAAAAAGAAAGAAAGACUUGGAAGACUUGUAGAGAGAGAAAAUAGCCACUUACACGAAACAGGAGGUGAAAAGCCUUGUUUCAAAAUAGUCUCGUCUAAAAUAAAACAUAGCGGUGAGUGACUUUCCAAAGCCCACAAUAGAGAACAAGUAUCAUGGGAUGGAAAGUGUGUAAUUGAAAUCUGUUGAUAGGAAUUCUUGUGAUGUUUAUGUACUCUUUCUCAGAAAUAAAUUAGCUUUGCUCUGCAGAAUGGGGGAAAAAGCAUUGUUAACAGUGCUGGUGUACUCCAGUGUUGGGAAAGCUGUUUCCUCCCCACGUACAUAUCAGGCAAGCAGUGAUGUCUCCCAAGCCAAUAAUGAUGAACAUAGGAAGAGUCCUGCUACAUCAGGCUAAUGGUCCAUGAUACCUAGAACCCUGUUUCUAGCAGUGAGUAGUCAGAUGUUUUGGGGAAGCCCACAAACACCAUGCAUUGUUUAUGGGUUUCCCCAAAACAUCUGACUGGUCACAAGCAACAGGCAACAGCCAUCCUUUGUCCGCCAGCAUCCUGUAUCUAGAGAUGCAUUGCUUCUGAACCUGUGCACUUCAUUUAGCUGUCUAAGCAAGCACGUAGCUGCCCAUCACAUCUUUUGGAAGCAAAUUCCAUAAGAUGCAUGUCAUAAUGAUUGGGGAUUACUGUUUCUCCCCUUUCACCCGAAUAUUCCUGCUUGGAAAGAGUGUCACUCAGGAUAAGUCACCUGCCAACCAUUAAGUGUGUGUCCCCAUGUAUUCACUUCUCAAGACCUUGGUGCAAGCCUGGAACACACUGAUUUUCUGGUGAUCAAAGGGAAAUCCAUUGCAAUAUCUAUAAAGUAUGUAAAUAAAUUGCUACAUAUUGUUCAAAAGGGUAGGUACUGUUCCGGUCCAAAGGUUUACAGGCUGGAGAAUGCUAAAGGAUUUAUUGUUUCUGUAGAACUUAUCAUGGUACAACUUCUUCACAAAUGUAGGCUGGUAAUCCACAAAGUUAUGAGGAAGAUCUGACCCAUCGUGACCAGCUAUUAGAUAUGUUCCAAGUGACAUAACUCACUGAGUACUGUUUGCCCUGGAAACUGGCAUGCUUUCUCGUUCUGGCCUUUUUGAGUGUCCUGCCAGAAGGGCACACCAUGACAUUGAUAGUUCGCAGAUCAUCCAUGCAUAGAGCAGACUGUUCUGCAACUAAAAUGAAAAGUAUUUGUCACCCUUCAGAGAGCAUGGGUAGCAAAGAAAAGUGUGUGUGGUGUGCGUGCUUGUGGCUUGGAAAUUACAAAUACCCUUUGCCAAUAAGUGAUUACAGUUUCAUCUAAUUGUUUGGCAGGCUUUUAAAAGUGUAUAAAAAGAUGCAGGCAAAGAUGAGUUAAGAAGCACAAGUCUCCAUUUCCUGUAGAAACUAAGCUUUGGACACUUAUGACUGCAUCCUCUGUCCCAACAUUCUUGAUUGGGUGGGGGCUAUGUUUUUGCUUAUGGUUCUCUGUAACUGUGCAUCCUGAGCAGCAAAGCUAAACUGCCCUUGUUAGGUACAGCGGUACCUCAGGUUAAGUACUUAAUUGGUUCCGGAAGUCCGUACUUAACCUGAAGCGAACUUUCCCAUUGAAAGUAAUGGAAAGUGGAUUAAUCCGUUCCAGGCAAUGAAAAGCACCCCCUAAAACAGCAAUUUAACACGAAUUUUACUGUCUAAUGAGACCACUGAUCCAUAAAAUGUAGGCAAUAAUCAAUGUACAGUGGUACCUCAGGUUAAGUACUUAAUUGGUUCUGGAAGUCCGUACUUAACCUGAAGCGUACUUAACCUGAAGCGAACUUUCCCAUUGAAAGUAAUGGAAAGUGGAUUAAUCUGUUCCAGACGGGUCCGUGGAGUACUUAAGUAGAAAGUACUCAACCUGAAGCUUACCUAACCUGAGGUAUGACUGUAGUUGUACCUGGAUGCCAAAUUUGUGGGCAGUAGAAGUUUCCUUGAGAUUGAAGAACUGGAUCUGACCUGAUCAAAUGCAUUUAAGUAUCCAAGUACAAUUCUACAAGGCAGGCAUUUGCUCAAACUGCUUGUAUUUUUUCACAUUUGUUAAAUCUGAGGGUUGUGUGGUGUAGGUGUGCUAAGAGAAUGAAUUGGGAAGAUCUGGUUCAUAUCUCACCUGAGCCAUAGGUGGCUUUGAGAAAUGUCUGCUGCCAAUCUACUCACGGGAAUAAUAGUUACCUGUUACCCAUUUUAUCAAUUUUCUCAGAUGUGGCAACCAGAAUUGGGUGCAGGUUUGCAGCAGACACAUUGCCUUGCAAAAGUACAGCUUUGCCAAGCAGAGGAAAAAUACAACAUAUGCCCAACAGAUACUGGCCCAACCAUAACACAGGGCUUCAUGUGUAUUUGGAGCUAAUGGUUGUAUCAUUGGGGCCAUUUGCCUUCUUGUUUUCUAGUUACAAAAUUCACCAAGUUCUGAAAUAUUGAUCUGGAAAGGAUUUGUUUUAUCACAACAGGCAAUCCUGUCUCAAACUCUUCUACUCUGUUUCCCUGUUAUUUAUUACAUUUAUAUAUCACCUUUCCUCCAAGGAUAUCAAGGUAGUAUACAGAUUUGAUCCCCCAUCUUCUCACCAAUCCUGAGAGACAGUGACAGUAAUCCAAGUUAAUGGAUGUAUAGGUGUUUGAACCCUGAUCUCUGUGAUCCUGGUCCAGCACUCUAAUCACUUCAGUAACUCAUAUAUUUAGCUAUUUGUAUUCAGGACUAUACAGCCCUCUCAAGGUGGUUCACAUUAUGCAACGAAAUAAAAGAAGAAAAUGCAAACUUCACAAUAGCGGUUUAAUCUAAAAACUCGGCAGUAAAAUAAUAUUAAAAUAGCUACAGUGGUUAAUUUGCACGAACCAGCCUUCAAUCAAUCAGUUAAAAAUAGGUGCAGAUGUAAAUUGACAGAUCUUUAGAGUUGAGAUAUGCAAACCUGAAUUGCAAAAGGCGAGCGAGGGCUUUUUUUGUAUUUUGCAUAUUAAGUGCAGUGGCAGCCAUAAAAAUGAUUUAUGAGCACAAUACAGAGAUGUCAUCUCUCUGUGCCAUAUAGGCAAACAAUUGAAGUUGAUUAAGAGUUAGUAGAUGAAUGAAUCUCAUUUCUCUUGUCAGGCAUGUUACUCAACUGAAACUCCCAACUACAUGUUAGAUUGAUUCUAUGAUUGUUUUCUCCAUUGAGUUUUUGUUUUUAUUUUAAACCAAAAGCAGACACAAAUAAGGGGCUUAACCUUUUCCUAUCCAGUCCUUUUUUACCCUUACCUUGAGAGAGUCAUAGUGGUCAGAGUGUAGGCUUGAUAGACCUAGAGAGACCUCAAAUGCUUGCUUCAUAAUGAAGUUUACUAAGUGACUUUAGUUCAUUCAUUCUCUCUCAACUUAACCUACCUCACAUGGUUGUUUUGGGGAGGCACACCUUGUACGGUAUCCUGAGCUCCUUGGAUGAAGAGUCGGAUUAAAUAAUAAAACUGGCUGAUGCAGAUUAAACACUGUGCAAGUGGAAAUCCUUGCACUAAUUGUAAGAGUGCAUUGGAUGCCACUCUUGGUUUCCACUAUCAGGAGUGUCCCCUGAUUAUAGAGUUGGGGCAUUCACCAGAGCAGCAUGAGAGGUGGUACAGGGGCUGCAGGAACCAUCCUGAAAACUACAGAUGGAGGACAGUGUACAAAUUUAAUAAAUGAUAAAUUAAAUAGUUGUUGCUAUUAAACUGAAAAUUGCCUCCUGCUUUCCUGAUGAUGGCAUUUUUCUACUGGAUCUUGGUCCCAUCCAUGAAGGGAUGGUGCCCUCUGUUAGUGGAUGUCUAGCUAGGAUCAAAACCACCCAUUUGUCCAGUACAAUGGAGGUUAACAGGCAGUAGUUCUGCUAUAGCUGUGUAAGGAACUUUAGGCUCCAGGAUAAUUGUGACUCUCUAAGCCUCUCUGUCUGGCCUUUUAAGAUCCUCCUCAGGUUCUUCGCUAGCACUGCUGGGUGCUCUUCUUGAGUUCUGUUGCUUGGCUGGAGUCCUUGAGCUUUGGGUUGCCUGGAUGGAGAAGUGUACCUAUGUUAGCAGAAACCUCUGUCUUUGUGUGGUUAAAAUUCACCUACUGUCUGUGCAAAUGUAUGAGUGCCAUUUGUAGCCCCACCCUUUUUGCCUCUGGCCCUGUCUACCCUUGGCUUGCAGCCCCUUGGAAGGGUGCCUAGAGGGAAUAUGGGUCCCUGGUUUCGGAAAAAGUGUACCCAUCUCUGCUCUGUAGUGCCUUUGCCAUUUCUGAAAGCUACAGCAUUGUCUUUUUCUUUUUAAAAAAUAAUUUUUAAAUUAGUUUUACAUAAAGUUAUACACAAUAACUAUAUCCUGUGCUUUUUCUCUAAAAAAUGUUUAGGGGUACUCUCAUUUUCCUACUCGUAUUGAAAUACUGCCCCUCAUUGAGGCCAAACUUAGAUUCACAAAAUGUUUAGGGGUAUGUGUACCUUCUGCCUAAGAUCUCCCUAGAAAAAAAAAGCACUGACCAUUCCAAAACAUAAAAAUAAAAAAGAUUCCUUAAGAUCUUCUCCCCUCCCUCCACGGGUUCCAUUUCUAAAGAUUUAUUCUCUUCCCCCACCCCACAUCUUUUUACCAUUAUCCAUCUAUUAUGUAAUUAUAGUAGCCAAAAUUCAUUUCACUUUACAAGUGUCAUUGUAUUCCUGCCAAUGAUUUCAACUUUCUACACUGGUCAUUUAAAUAUAUUAAAAAUUUAUUCCAAUCUUUUAAAAAUACUUGGUCUUCCUGGUUUCUGAUAUUUCCCGUUAGUCUUGUCAUUUCUGCAUAUUCCAUCAGUUUGGUCUGCCAUUCUCCUCUGAUCGGUACUUCGCCUUCUUUCCAUCUCUGGGCUAAAAGCAUUCUUGCUGCUGUCAUUGCAUACAUAAACAGUCUUUUAUCUUAUUUUAUUUUGGUAGUUCCUCACCUGUUAUACCUAACAGAAAAGCCUCUGUCUUUUAACGAAAGUUUUCUUAAACAUUUUCUUUAACUCAUUAUUUAUCAUUUCCCAGAAAGCUUUUACCAUCGCACAGGACCACCACAGGUACUCUCUUUCCUUUUACCUUUCCAGCACGAAUUUGAGCUAGUUCUAUACAUUUUCACAAUUUUACUCAGAGUCAGAUACCAGCAGUAGCUCAUUUUCAUAUAAUUUUCUUUCAACGAACAGCAAGCCAUAAACUUCAAAUCCUCUUUCCAUAACUUUUCCCCUGAUGAAAGUUGUAUAAUGUAUAUUGUAACCGAAAUUUCUUGCCCAAUGUAUCAUCACUGAUUUAACUUCUUCAUCCUUAGUAAACCAUUCCAAAAGCAAUUUAUACAUUUUUGAAAGUAAUUUCACAUUGUUUUCCAACAGAGAAAGCUACGGCAUUGUCGAUUCUCAUCAUUUUGAAACAAAGCUCCCAGUAAAUGUAAAUAACAUAUGGACAUGGUCUCUCUCUUUCUUUUUGGAAGGGUUGUGCAUCUUGUAGUUUGGGUAGCUGGAGGAGUUUGUGAAGGAGGAGAUGGUUGUGCAUAUAUCUGCAAGAUUGCAUUUUGCACUGAUACGGUGAAAACGUGGGUGGUGGAGCUGCCACUAAGGAAUAGAGAUGAGUGACAACCUCAAAUUAAGCUACCAUUUUUAGCAAGGGCUGGAAGUAUAGCAUAAGAAGAGCUCUACUGCAUCAGAUCAAAAGUCUGUCCUUCCUUCCUUCCCCCACUCCACCCAAGGAAAUCACAUGCCAUGUCUCCCCUUUUUGCACAUAUAGAGGCUCUGUGCAUAAGUUCCCACAAAUUCACAGGUGGCAGAGCCUGAGGGUGAAUCAGCAGUCCUCAAACACUUAUUUCUGCCUAAGAAUGAGCACCUAAACAAGGUUUUAAGGCUCUUAUUAAAUGAGCCGGCAUGUUCAAUCUUCCAAAAGUUAGCCAAAAGAUGUGGUAAUGUUUCAAACAGCGGGAAGAUCUGCAACAUAAUACCCCACAGAAUCAGUCAUCUGGCACAGUAUAGAGAAAAAGGGUAGCUUUGUAGUGUUUGAACACGUUUAUUCUAAUAUGUUCCAAACUAUUGACUAAAGUUAAGAGAUGGAGACUCGAGAGCAAGCUUGAAUUAAAAAUUCCUAUUGUGUGUAAUAAGCUCCUAGGCAGGAAGGCUUGAGGAGCUGAAUACUUAAACAACCAUUUGAUGCUUUCUUUGCUUAGUUGGUUAGAGGGUUAUGAAGCUCUAUACCAGUCUCCCCCAACUUGAUGACCUCCAGAUGUUGGGCUACAAUUCCCAUCAGCCCAGCAAGCCUGGACAAUGGUCGGGGUGAUGGGAGUUGUAGUUCAAAGCAUCUGAAGGGCUUCGGUUUGCAGAAGCCUGCUCUUCACAGUAACUGAGAUACCUUUAUGCUCCUAUCUUUAUGCAGCUACUUCAGUUCCUUUGAGGAUAGGGACCAAAGAAAUGCUUAGGAUUUACAGCAGGAGGGAAAGGUUUGAAAUCUAAAGGAAUCUUUCUUUAAUAUUUUGCAUUCCAGAAAAUUUAUUUUCAGAAUGAAAGUACCGUUAUUGGGCAGAUGUCUCUCUCCAUGGUAGUGCAUUUCCUGGAGAAACUUGUUUUCCCCAAGAACUCUUAGGAUUAUUUCCGGCAUUGAGGUAGAGAAUGUUUUUGGCUCCAUGGGCCGUAUCUUUAUCAGGAUUGGCUUCUUGAGCAGGGGAACCCACCUGUCGAUCACAUGACAUCCCAUGCUUGGCAGCUGGAUUGUCCCGUCCACCAGCCAAAAUCCUUUGGGUGGGAACCACGCUGCAAGGGACAUUGUUAGCCCCAUGUUCAGCACUUUGGGUCGCUCUAAGCACAGGCCUGGAUUGUUUCUUCCCCUUCCUGCCUCUUGAUGGGAAUGGGAAGAAUAAGGCUGUGUUUUAUAGGCUUUAAUUGAUUGUUUGUUUGAUUGAAUUUAUAUACCACCCUUUACCCAGAUGUCUCAGGGUGUUUCACAAAAAAAAAUCACAACAUAUAAAAAAUCAAAAUAAGAACACUUCAGUGGUACCUCUUGUUGUGAACGGGAUCCGUUCUGGAGGCCCAUUUGCAACAUGAAAAGGCCCUAGAAGGGGGGGGGAGGUUUGCUAGACAUCCAUUUAGCCUUCUCUCUCGCUCAUACUGAAGAAAUUCUGCAAACAGGUGCACUGUAUGUUAUUCCAAAUUGUUGUCUCAAAUUAUUAUAAAGUCAGCUAGCAAAUAUUUCCCACUUCCCUUGAAAAAGAGAGGAAUUCUCAUUUCUCUGUGCUGCAUCAUAUUAACAAGCGCCAUCUUGUUUCUUCUUGUUUCUUCUUUUAUGACAAAGUAAUUGCUUGCUUUACAGAAGGUUCUAGGUUGCGUUUUUAUCAUAUCCAACUGCAAAGGAUGUUAGGCAGCAAGACUGCAAGGACUUCUGCCUGAAACCAUAGAAAACAACUGUCGGUCACUGUACACAACGUGAGCCAACAGGCAGCUUCAUAUGUCCAUAUAUUGUCCAAACAAUUGUCUACGGCCUAAUUUUAUUUCACUAGUGGAUGAACUGCUGUCACUUUCCCCCAAGGGAGAUUGUGAUAUAUCUUCUGCAAAUGUUUAAGCGAGUGAGGUUGUUCAUCAUCAAAGCAUCCAUCACCAAUACAUGCCAUGUACCUCUUCUCUAAACCUCUGCAGUGGGUACGUCAUUAUUCCAAUUUUUGUGAGUGGUACUUCGGCUGCUGUUAUCAGAUUCUUUACAAGGUCCCUGUGAUCAUUCUUUAUGCUGUUCUUGGCAUAUUCUAACAGGAAUUCUUGUGAGGUUUUUCCAAUUUUGUAACUUAUUAUCUCUCUGGUGUUUUUCUCCACAUCCUAUCAAUAUUUUUAAUAUAGUGGUGCUGCUGCCAAGUGUAUCUAGGGGCCUUGCACUGCUCUUUUGACACCAAUAUUUUUGAAGGUGCCAUCAUCAUCAGCAUUAUUAUUUUUAAAAAAAUGAAAGUUGAAGUGUAAUUCCACUUACAUAGAAUCUUAGAGCAGUUUUUUUUCAUUGCCAUACUGACUGUGCUUUUUUCUUUUGAACAAGUAUAAUUCUGGCAAGAUGCUGAAAUUUAAAUCUAGUAUCUCUUAUUUCUGCUAUUGAAUUUCUUUUACUCUUUAUAUAUUUUUGAUAGCAUUCCUGAUAUCUUUGUAAACUAAUUCAGAUUUUUCUAAGCGCUUCAAGAAUUUUAACCCUGCACAGUAGAUAAAAAUAUUAAAAGAAACAACACAACACCCAGAACAAUGAUGCAUUAAAAUAUUCAAUAAGCAGCACAUUCCAUUAUUGAUAUAAAUCAGUAUCAAUACUUUACAUUGUAAAGUUUACACCAGCCUUUACACUGGCUGAGGCUUUAGGCGGGUUGCAGUACAAAACAUCUUGCGGGUGCCACGUUGGAGAAAAGUUUAAACAGAGAAUACUACAGUUGCAGGUGAAAAUGAAAAGUAAAUGUCAACGUUGGUACAGGGGGUUGUUGUUGUUUAGUCGUGUCUGACUCUUCGGGACCCCAUGGACCAGAGCAUGCCAAGCACUUCUGUCUUCCACUGCCUCCCGCAGCUUGGUCAGACUCAUGUUGGUAGCUUUGAGAACACUGUCCAACCAUCUCGUCCUCUGUCGUCCCCUUCUCCUGGUGCCCUCCAUCUUUCCCAACAUCAGAGUCUUUUCCAGGGAGUCUUCUCUUCUCAUGAGGUGGCUAAAGUAUUGGAGCCUCAGCUUCACGAUCUGUCCUUCCAGUGAACACUCAGGGCUGAUUUCCUUCAGAAUGGAUAGGUUUGAUCUUCUUGCAGUCCAUGGGACUCUCAAGAGUCUCCUCCAGCACCAUAAUUCAAAAGUAUCAAUUUUUCGGCGAUCUGCCUUCUUUAUGGCCCAGCUCUCACUUCCAUACAUCACUACUGGGAAAACCAUAGCUUUAACUAUACGGACCUUUGUUGGCAAGGUGAUGUCUCUGCUUUUUAAGAUGCUGUCUAGGUUUGAGGUUUGUCAUUGCUUUUCUCCCAAGAAGCAGGCGUCUUUUAAUUUUGUGACUGCUGUCACCUUCUGCGGUGAUCAUGGAACCCAAGAAAGUAAAAUCUCUCACUGCCUCCAUUUCUUCCCCUUCUAUUUGCCAGGAGGUGAUGGGACCAGUGGCCAUGAUCUUAGUUUUUUUUGCUGUUGAGCUUCAGACCAUAUUUUGUACAGGGGGUAGGAUUCACCAAACAAGCCCCAACAUCUGAAUCCCUGCAUAAGGACUUUCCCUUAAGGUCCCCUGAAACUGGCUCAGAGGAAUUGGAAGAACACCCCCCAAAUAAAAUAGUGCAUGGGGGGAGACAGAGGGGGAUCAUUCCAUCUGGCAAGCUGUCGUGCUUAUGUAUGAUUGGAAGAGGGCAACAACACUGAAUUCUACCCAGGGCCAAUGAAAUAGGUGAGAGAGAUUAAAAUAAGAUGAUACCCUUUAUUUUGCAUACAGAAGCUGACUAGAUAGGCUGAUUCAUACUUUGGUGGUGGAAGAGGACACUCCAUGGCACCUAAGGGAAGGUUGCUACAAUGAAGUGCGGGUGGCGCUGUGCUCUAAACCACCGAGCUCCAUUUGUUAUCAAUGUAUACUCUAACAUCUAUUUAACAUCUAUUUAGUUUCAGGAUUGUGUCGGCAUUGUCUAGAACCUAGGAGUAUCACAAUAGCUUCUAAGCCACAGGCCAUAUCGCACGCUAUAAAAUACUCAUAUGGAGAACACUUUUAAAAAAUCCCAAGGGUGUGUGUGUGUGGGGGGGGAGAUGGUUGGGAAUAAAAAUGGGAUGCAGUGUCUCUUUUCCUCCCCCAACCAAACAGGAAGGAAGAGGCUUGUGGACUUGCACUCCACUAGAUCAACAGCAGUUGAGAGGAGGGUUCUUGGACUUGCCAAUCAGAAGGUUGGCGGUUUGAAUCCCCCCGACGGGGUGAGCUCCCAUUGCUCUGUCCCAGCUCCUGCGAACCUAGCAGUUCGAAAGCAUACCAGUGCAUGUGGAUAAAUAGGUGGAGGGAAGGUGAACGGUGUUUCCGUGCACUCUGGUUUCCAUCACGGUGUUCCGUUGUGCCAGAAGCAGUUUAGUCAUGCUGGCCACAUGACCCAGAAAGCUGUCUGUGGACAAACGCCUGCUCCCUCGGCCUAAAAGCAAGAUGAGCGCUGCAACCCCAUAGUCGCCUUUGACUGGGCUUAAUCAUCCAGGGAUCCUUUACCCUUUACCUUACAGUGAAGUCAGGUGGAAAUUUUUUCAGAAUUCCCCCCGUGCUUUAUUUCCCCAUGAAUUAUUAUUAUUAUUAAUUUCAUAAGAUCAUUAGCUACAGUAAAUGGAACCAACUUCAAAUACUAUAUUAGACAAGCUUGGCCAUUUCAAAGUUUUUCGCUUUGUUUCCUAAAUAGAGAUAACAUGCUAAAUGAGAGCAUGCUUAAGGACAUCCAACUGUCCAUUUUUUUUUCUUGAAAACCCAUAUUAUUGGUAGGCUAAUUUAGGGGUUGCAGAACAGGCUGUGUGGCACAUGGUAUACUGGCCUCCAGCAGAAUGGAGCGCUGUCCUCCAGCACCUGCCACCUGAAGCGAUCGCCUCAGUAUAUCUAAUAGUAGAACCAGCCCUUUCCAGGCUUGAUAACACUAUUAAGAAUUCUUGAGGUUGUCCCUCAACACAGAUAAAUUUAUGAAGCUAGGCUCACCAUGCUGAUUGCAUCUUUUAUUUGCUGGUAACAAUUAUUAUAAUUGAUUGUUCACUGCAAAUUGGUCUCUGAGAUAAAUAAGAUCCAGAAUAAGGGAUGAGUUGAUUAGAGUUAUAUUCUAGAGUCUGGUUUGAUUUUUUAAUGGGGGAAGGGAAUUGAGAGUUCCACAAAGGUUAGCUAAAAAUCCUGUCACCCCUCUAGACACUUUGCAAUAUAAUUACAGCCUCCUGUAAAUUGCAUUGACAAGCUGGCACAAUGAUGCACCUUGAAAAUGAAUGAAUGCAAUGAUGGAAUGUAAACAUUUCCAAACAUCUGCAGUGAUCUGGGCCAGAUGUAUACCAGCAAGCAGGGAGAUAACAGAGAGACAGUGCCAUGCUUGAUUUCUCCUUGAAUCCAAGGCUGAGGCUAUGGGAGAAACAAGACCCUUUUGGCGUGUUAAUGCUGUGAACCUUGCCAUCAUAGGCUCAGGUUUAAUAUACGCAUAAAUAAGCCACAUAUCAUAAAGACACCACAGUCUGCACUGUGCCUCAUUCCAAAAGAAAUAUAAACCCUGGGUAAGCGCCUGGAACCCCUGGAAUCUUGCACCGCUCGGAGAUUGUGGUGGCGUGAAACAAUAAUAUUCAUUAAUGUCAAGAAUGCAUUCAUUAUAUUAUUUCCUGCAGUACAAAGAUAUUAUUUUAACAGAACAAAUAGCCAACAAAGCAAACCCCCUUUCCACAUUGUAACAACAACAACUACCAAAAACCCCCACUUUGCACAAGCAUAGUUUCUUUCCUUGAGAUUUGCCUCUGGAUGAAAGUGGGAAGUGUUCUCUACAGCUCCUUAUACCUAUGUCUAGGUAUUGGUAGUUUUAUGGGCCUAGUUGAUGACUCUUUUGGGGGGGGGGAAAUGGGUUCAUUUACAAUGGUCUAUUGCAAAAAGGAAUAAAGGAAAAUCAUUCUCUGUAAAUCAUUAGAGGAAUGUUGGUUGAUUGUAUCACUCGAUCUUUUUUGUGAUUGUUUCCAUUACGGUUUCAUUUGGAGGCAGAAAAUUUCCAAUUUGUCUAGUCCUGUGUGUCCCAUCCAUCAUCUUGGUGGUGUUGAAGGGUGCUUUUUGUUCCCUUGUAGUUAAAAAUGGCUUCAGUUUAGGAAGUUUCAUCCAGAAGCAUACUGAUUAUGAUUGUAAAAUUUCCACCACAAACAACGAUAACUCUGAAAAGUAACUUUUUCCAGCAAUUGUCUCCUGGAAGUAAAGCUGCCGAAACCGUUUUUCUUCUUUGCUCUUGCAUGUCAACACGUUUGGCUUAUUUUGAAAGCACUUCAGGGUCUGGCAACGAUAUGGUGCUUACAACAAAGCAAGUGGAACAGCGGAUGCAAAGCCUGGAAUGGAUAAAAGGAAGGUUCAGAAUUCCUUUAGAAAUCUCAAAUAGAACUUGGCAAACUAUAGCAAGUGGCUUCCUAUCGUAGCUAGACAGGAAGUGUCAUAUUUGAUAAGUAGCAUUUGAGCUUUGAAGCAGGAGUUUACUCUUUGGGAGAGAUUUCCCCCCUAUUGUUAAGUGGAGACGAAACAAUCCCCUGGCAGUAAAAUUUUCUCAAAUGUGAAUCAGCAAGCUAAAGGUUGUGAGAACUGUUCAUUCAGAAUUAGAAAAAUUGGCAAGCGUGCAUCACCAUCUUAGGCAAGUUUAUUCAGAAGUACAUACCCACUGCACUAAGUGGGGGUUUGCUUCCUAGUUAGUGAAUUUAAUGUUAUAGCCCUAGCAUAUUUCUUGCUUAAUUCUGCAAUAUCCAUAUUUGAUCAGGUAGCAUCUUCAGGAGAAGCGUGGCCUCAUAGCUGAAUGUUACCCAUGUACCAUGUACAUCAAUGAAAGAUCUAAGAAUGAUAUUGAUAGAAGCUGGACUAUACUGGCCUCGGUUGCUACCACAAUUAGUGGGCAAAUGCUGCUUGUACAACAAGCAAAUAGAGAUGCUUAGAAAUGGGAUACAGCAGUAGCCCCAUUAUCCCCAGACCCAGAGAACAUGACAUUGGCUAGUAUUUUAGAGAUGCAGUCAGAUAAUGGCAUGUGAUUGUAUCAUGGCUUAUGGCUUUGUUUUUUGUUUUUGCUUAGUCAUGGGCUUGCAUCUUUGAUUUUUGGGGUUGGGAACACUGGCUGAGAUUUUUCCAUAGCACCUCAUUAACAGCAGAUGUAUCUACACCCCCCCUAUUCCCUUGAAAAUUAACUUAAGAUAUAUAUAUAUAUAAUCUUGGUAGGUGUUGGGAUAUUAUUUAAUAGAACGAACAUAAUGUGUCAUGCAUUUACCUUCUGCUCAGGGUGUUCCCUUCAGGUUUCUAAAAUCUUGCAAGUGUUCACUGCAAACUAGAAAAUGGAAUUUCAAUAAGAGAAAAAGAAAUUGGUCCCCCAAGGGUCAGUUGUAUCCAUAGUCAGUGUUAUCUUUCUGUCUGGACUACAGUGAUGAAUGCAAUUCCUUGAUGGAUCAUAGUUUUAAGGCCAGUGGACUUUGAUCUGCAGCCUGGCAGCACAGACUUUCUCUAGUGCCCUAGGGCAGGUGCUUGAGACCUUGAGAUUCCUUUCUUCUUCUUUAAAGAAAGCCUUUAGCCCUCCUAGGAAAAAGUUGUGUGUGGGGGAGGGGAGUGCAGGUACCUUCUAAGUGAUUUCUGUGAGUGUGAUGUGACCAGCUCAAUGUGCUUAACUAGAUGUGCUUAAUGUUAUAUGAACUUGAUGGUGACCCUGGAUAGCUCAGUUGGUUAGAGCGGGUCCCCAAACUAAGGCCCGGGGGCCGGAUGCGGCCCAAUCGCCUUCUACAUCCGGCCCAUGGACGGUCUGGGAAUCAGCAUGUUUUUACAUGAGUAGAAUGUGUGCUUUUAUUUAAAAUGCAUCUCUGGGUUAUUUGUGGGGCAUAGGAAUUUGUCCAUACUUUUUUUUUUCAAAAUAUAGUCCGGCACCCCACAAGGUCUGAGGGACAGUGGACCGGCCCCCUGCUGAAAAAGUUUGCUGAGCAUAGUGCUGCUAACGCCAAUGUUGCAGGUUGGAUCUGUAUAGAACAGCUGCAUAUUCCUGCAUUUCAGCGGGGUUGAACCAGAUGGUCCUCAGGGUCCCUUCCAACUCUACAAAUGUAUGAUUCUGUGAUAUCUGAUUUGUCCUCAAACAGAGAUUUUCAUUGUUAGCUUUGGUUUCACUCCCUUCACCAUGUCUUAUCAACUGAUGAGAUGUGCUUAGAAAAUCAUACGCUUCCAAAGGUAGAAGGAAAUGGAAAAAGCUGGUCUCGGUGCCUGUUUCGCUCUGGGUUUUCCCCUUGAGUGAACCUGACUUCUAGUGGGACCCUGGUGGGUUGAUUUUUGAUGUGUUGCAUCAUGGCUAUCUUGAGAUGGGGAUGCUGACAAUGCCAUGGCCCUGCUGUGUCUGACUCACGGGUUAACAGGAUUUUUCUCUGCCUCCCCUGAAUAGGAAAGUGGCUCAGGUUCACUGAGGCUGUAACAGCAGGUGUAAGUGAUCAUAGGUGAUAAAGAUUCUCAGAUGCAUACCCAUGGCUUGCCACGCAGGGGCAUUAUGUGAGAGGUGCCGGGGGAUCAUGGCCCCUGGUGCACAAUUUUUGAGGGUGCACAGUCCAGGUGUUCCUCUCUGCCGGUGUCACCACAUCAGGGGAAUCGCCUGCCAAGGGCUGCAUUGGCCAGCUGGGCUCCCCCCCCCCCCGCAUGGAUGGGCAGGCAGCUCAGCACAGCCUCACUUGGCUUAGGUGGGAGUGGGCUCAUUCUGGCAGCAUUGGAGGAGAGGGUUGGGCUAGCAGGCUCCAUUCACCCUCCAUACCCCCUCGCCCAAUGCCUAUGCUCGUGCGCCUCACCUAACUCCUGUGCACAUGCCCCAGGCGACGGCAAGCGAUGCUACGCCACUGUUGCCACACAGAGAUUUUGAGGUGUCUGCCUUAUAAUUCAUGGUUAUUGCUUUACCAAAGUUGUUGGCCGCAUGCUGGUUGUUUUCAAAGGAAUUCUUUCUUCUUCUUUGGCAAUCACUCAUAGCCGAGUAAGAUUGUCUUCCAUAAACACGGUUUUAACAAUGAGUCUGUAAGUGACUGUGGAGGCCAAUUCUGGAACCACAUGACUUUCCACAGUGAGGACAUUGGUUACAAGAACCACCACCAAGUUGCUCUAUAUAUCCCGCUUGCAAGUUUCCCACAGGCAUCUUGUUAGCCACUGUAAGAAGAGGAUGCUGCACCUCAGAUGGACCAUUAGCUGGAUUCAGCAGGCUCUUCCUAUAUUUUUAUGGCUGUCCCAAGUUCACCUGUGAGCUUCAUGUGGCUGAGUGGAGUUUUGAACCUUGGUCUCCUUGUAUCUCCAUUACUCCAUAUCAGCUCCCCUCAAGACUGAAGCUCCCAGUAUAUGCAUGUCUCAGGAUUAGCUUUAAAAUGUUCUCAUCAAACUGGCCUGGCAGCUGCCAAGAAGCGGUGCUAACUGAAUUUAUAGAGACAUGUUCUCUAUUUUAUAUGCACUCAUCUGAACAACUGUAUCCAUUUGGAGGCUUAAACACACUGCCCUUCCACAUCAUGUAUUCUCCUUACUUAGCGGUUUGUCUCGGAUAAAAAAGAAGAAACAGUUUAAUGCAGCCAUCAAACACAAGGUGACCCCUAUUAACAGCUCUGAUUUCCAUAGUUUCCAGAUUUUAGAUCCUGGCUUUUGUUCCAGGCUUCCAAUCUUCAGCCUACAGACAUUUUUAAUUCCCACUCUCCACUCUAUGCCUACCAUUCAGCUUUCCCUCCUCCGUACAUAGCACAAUGCUGCUUUUUGGCUGUUCGGAGAGAAUUAAAUUGCAAGAAUAAAAAUUCCAUCUUAAAAGCAUACAAGAUGCCAUUCAAUGAGUUUUAGUCAACACAAUGCAAUAAUGCAUAGCUUUGUGCUUACAAGUCAGGAGCCAGGUUCUUACACCAAUUGUAACAAUCAAUUUCUCAAAUGUGGCAAAGAAAGGUCACAUCUCACUUCUUAUGAAUCCAUGCCUUUCCCUUUGUUGGGCUUGAAAAUAAUACUUCUCAAAUAAUCAUCCUCAAGCUGCAGCUUGUGGUUCAAGAAAGUGUAGUUCACAAGUAGUUUUUUGUUGUUGUUGUUGCUGCUGCUGUUGGAAUUGUUGCCAAUACUAAUAGGGGAUUCAAGUGAAAUAUGCAACAAAAAGUUGUGGGGUACCUCCCACUCCUGUGUGUGCAGUUUGUUCGAUGGUAAUAAUGGUAGCUUCCUCUUAGUGCUUGCGAGAUUCAUUUGAUGGUGAUGUGGAAAAGUUUCCAACCACAUUCUCUGGUGAAAAGCCUGGGACUUCACAGCCGCAUGUACAAGAAAUGUUCUGCUGGUCAUUUGACAUAAUAUGCCAGUCAAAUUCAUGAUUUUAGGGCUCAAUUCAGACAGAGCAUUUCCCACACAGCAGUUCUCCUCCACAUCUCUGCACAUGGUGGGUGAAGAAGAAGAAGAAGAGUUUGGAUUUGAUAUCCUGCUUUAUCACUACCCUAAGGAGUCUCAAAGGAAUCUCCUUUCCCUUCCUCUCCCACAACAAACACUCUGUGAGGUGAGUGAGGCUGAGAGACUUCAGAGAAGUGUGACUAGCCCAAGGUCACCCAGCAGCUCCAUGUGGAGGAGCGGGGACGCGAACCCGGUUCACCAGAUUAUGAGUCUACCAUUCUUAACCACUACACCACACUGGCUCUCAGGAGGAGGGUUCUGAACCCUGAGGAGGGUUCUGAACCCUGAUAACCUCUCUCUCUCUCCCCCCUCAUCUCUCUCUCUCUCAACAACAUUCUUCUGUCUUUAAUAAAUGCAGUGCCACCGUGGUUUUCCUUGGGAGUUGUGAGGUAGGGCCUUGCUGUUCCAAUUUUACAGAGUGCUAUACAUCCGUCAUCACAGCUAUCUUUACAAGAACCUUGUGAGGUUCUGUCAUGAUUAUUAUCCUCUUACUGCAGGGACUGAGGCUUAGAGACUAGUGAGUUGAUGGCUGCGGUGAAAUAUGGAAGCGGUCCUUGGCAGCACAUCGUCUUAGAUACUGUGCUCUGCCAAUUCUAGCAAACGUAAGAGCAUGUGGCAUUAAUCUUCACAAAAUUAUAUCUGAAUGGCCUCACAAUGGUUGAAAAGGAGUAAAGUCGGUUACUGGUCAAUUUUAGAAAUGCUAUUAUCUGAACCACAUCUGGACAUUGGGAAAUAGCGAUGAAAUGGAACUGAGCAAAACCUUUUAGUAGGUCACCCCCUGGUAGGCUGAACUCCACACACCUCAUCACAAAGUGACGUCAGAUGGCACCCCAAAUCAAGUCAACUAAAAGGAUAAUCUAUUAACACCAGCUGUAUUUUUUGUAAUGGCUAUAUGCAGUGUUUUUUUCUGGGGGGACGCAGGGGUAUGCAUACCCCUAAACAUUUUGUGAAUAUAAGUUUGGCCUCAUUGAGGGGCAAUAUUUCAAUAUGAAUAGGAAAAUGAGAGUACCCCCUAAACAUUUUUUUAAGAAAAAAAAGGACUGGCUAUAUGGACAUGGAAAAGACACAGGCCCUGGAAGUUGAAAAUUAGAUUCUUUAUUCCAAAGGAUAGGUAAGUAAAUAAGUGCCUUUAAAAUGCAGUUGUUCAGAAUUUGAAAGCAUACAUAUGCCUUUUUAAAACCAUCACUGCUCCAUACACCUCACUUCAGAAACCCAACUAGCCAGUCUUAUUGAUUACAAGGCUUUCUUCAGGCAUUUUGAAGGGAGACUUGUAACUGAACAAAGCAUUUUUCAAAAAAAUAAUCUUUAAAAAAACAUUGCUUGUGAACGUCACAAAUGCAAACAUAACAAUAUGUGGAUGACAACUUCUAAUAUACAGCACCGUAUUUUUCGUUCCAUAAGACACACAUUUUUCCUCUUAAAAAGUAAGAGGAAAUGUCUGUGCAUCUUAUGGAGCCAAUGCAUGGUCCAUGGAGCCAAUGCGUGGUCCCUGGAGCCGAAUUGCCCAGGGGCUAAAGAAAGGUCAUGCUUUUUUU
Non-coding RNA from Zootoca vivipara (common lizard), 22545 nucleotides. The record is from RefSeq and is a predicted model, not a curated record. NCBI's taxonomy places the organism in Eukaryota, Metazoa, Chordata, Lepidosauria, Squamata, Lacertidae.